UGCAGCUGAGCAUCGAGCAGG
Molecule: unclassified non-coding RNA, 21 nt
Filed under: Mus musculus (house mouse)
Lineage: Eukaryota; Metazoa; Chordata; Mammalia; Rodentia; Muridae
Description: oocyte_clustered_small_RNA13959
Source: RNAcentral